UAGGGAAUCUUCCACAAUGGGGCGAAAGCCUGAUGGAGCAACGCCGCGUGUGUGAUGAAGGGUUUCGGCUCGUAAAACACUGUUGUAAGAGAAGAAUGACAUUGAGAGUAACUGUUCAAUGUGUGACGGUAUCUUACCAGAAAGGACGGCUAAAUACGUGCCAG
Molecule: ribosomal RNA, 164 nt
Filed under: uncultured bacterium
Lineage: Bacteria
Description: partial 16S rRNA
Rfam family: Bacterial small subunit ribosomal RNA
Source: RNAcentral